AUAAUCGAUCGCAAAGCUGCCUUACUUUAAAAACGUGAAACGCAAGUAAGAGAUCCGCGUCGCAGCGUAAAAACAAUGGAGAGAGAAUCGCCCAAAAAGCUGGAGGACGCAUUGGAAGAAAUGGGAAUGCAGGGUGUGCUGCAUUAUUGUGAAACAAUAAACUAUUAGCAAAUGUGGUAACAUAAAAGAGAAGCGAUGUCGUCAAUAAAAUUAAAAUUCGCGUGAAUUAAGUUAACUUACGAAUUAAAAAGCUGGAGUGACUUUGUCACUAUUAGAAAGUGUGACAGAGGAGGAGCUAAAGAAAGCAGUUCCCCAAUUGGGACUGCGUAUGCUGUUCAAUCGGGAGCUUACAAUUUGGAGAGAAAAAAAUAAAAUUACCAAGGUCAGCGCACGCCAAAACGAAAACGAGACCAAUUUUGUGCUCCACAAGAGCAUUCGUUCGAUUAUAGAGGCGAAGGAGCAUGGUAAAACGUUAAUUAAUAAAGGGAAUCUUGUUGAGGUGGAUAGAAUCUGGCUGAUCAACGCAAUAGUUGAGGAAGCCAUCAACAAUAAUUUAAUAAUUUGUUAAAGGAAAAGUUUUCGAACUGCAACAAAAUCCAUUUGUAUGAUAUCUUAAUUUUUAAAGGAACUCGGUACAAAAUCAAUUACUACUUAGGUGUAAUAUUAAGUGACUUUGAGUUAUUUAAAAUUAAUUUCUUUACUGUCUACAACAACGAAGCUUACGUUAUAUGCCAACAAAUUCAAAUUACAAACUUUGAUAUACAUUUUCGCGCAUACGUAAUUGGCUCUGCUAUAGAAUAUUGUAUUAGAAAGUUAAGUGAAUUCGACACUGCUCCUUUGCAUUUAUAUCAUGUAAAUAAUGAUAAAACUCUUGUUUGUAUUAAAUAUGUAUAAGCUUCUUAAGACAAAUUGUUCUUAUGUAUGUCAAAAUAUACAAUACAAAAGUUGUACUUUUAAAUAUUAAGAAGUGAAUCAGAUAUAAUACUGAAAUACCAUUCAUUAUGAAAUUAUAUUCUUAAGUUAAAAACGUUUUGUACUUAAGAAAAGAAUUGUUUAUACUUCAAAUAAAUAUUGAUUUCUUGAAUAAAACA
This is an RNA transcript of Drosophila gunungcola (fruit fly), 1091 nucleotides long. RefSeq lists it as uncharacterized. Lineage: Eukaryota; Metazoa; Arthropoda; Insecta; Diptera; Drosophilidae. The transcript is spliced from 4 exons. The record is from RefSeq and is a predicted model, not a curated record.